This 462-nucleotide ribosomal RNA is filed under the name uncultured bacterium. RNAcentral describes it as "SSU rRNA". It matches the Rfam family "Bacterial small subunit ribosomal RNA", at positions 26 to 518 of the family's 1533-position model. The record is from RNAcentral.
AGAAUCAACGCUGGCGGCGUGCCUAACACAUGCAAGUCGAACGAGAAAGUGGAGCAAUCCAUGAGUACAGUGGCGUACGGGUGAGUAACACGUGACUAACCUACCCUCGAGUGGGGAAUAAACCUCGGGAAACCGGGGCUAAUACCGCAUAACAUCUUCGGAUCAAAUGCGUAAGCAGCUUGAGGAGGGGGUCGCGGCCGAUUAGCUAGUUGGCGGGGUAAUGGCCCACCAAGGCAAUGAUCGGUAGCCGGCCUGAGAGGGCGCACGGCCACACUGGAACUGAAACACGGUCCAGACUCCUACGGGAGGCAGCAGUGGGGAAUUUUGCGCAAUGGGGGAAACCCUGACGCAGCAACGCCGCGUGGAGGAUGAAGCCCCUUGGGGUGUAAACUCCUUUCGAUCGGGACGAUUAUGACGGUACCGGAUGGAAGAAGCACCGGCUAACUCUGCGCCAGCAGCCGC